This is a long non-coding RNA of Vidua macroura (Pin-tailed whydah), 259 nucleotides long. RefSeq lists it as uncharacterized. The transcript has 3 exons. The record is from RefSeq and is a predicted model, not a curated record. NCBI's taxonomy places the organism in Eukaryota, Metazoa, Chordata, Aves, Passeriformes, Viduidae.
GUGCUUUGUGCCUUAGCAUGGCUUUUAUUUAUCAUUUCAACCUUGGUGUAUCUAAUCAUCUACAUCCAAAAAGACAAUAAGGUCCACUUUGAGCAGCUAUGAAGAGUGAUCUCUAAUAAAUAAAUUACUGUAAAAUAACAUAUAGAACUGCUCCUGUACCAAAAAAUAUUUUUUUACAAGGACAGAACACAGUCACCUAAGGGUGUUCUUCUUUUGCACAGACUAAGGAUGAUGUUUUCCACUUCUCACAGACCUUCUG